Molecule: ribosomal RNA, 448 nt
Filed under: uncultured bacterium
Lineage: Bacteria
Description: bacterial SSU rRNA
Rfam family: Bacterial small subunit ribosomal RNA
Source: RNAcentral
GAGCGGAUGACGGGAGCUUGCUCCUUGAUUCAGCGGCGGACGGGUGAGUAAUGCCUAGGAAUCUGCCUGGUAGUGGGGGACAACGUUUCGAAAGGAACGCUAAUACCGCAUACGUCCUACGGGAGAAAGCAGGGGACCUUCGGGCUUUGCGCUAUCAGAUGAGCCUAGGUCGGAUUAGCUAGUUGGUGGGGUAAUGGCUCACCAAGGCGACGAUCCGUAACUGGUCUGAGAGGAUGAUCAGUCACACUGGAACUGAGACACGGUCCAGACUCCUACGGGAGGCAGCAGUGGGGAAUAUUGGACAAUGGGCGAAAGCCUGAUCCAGCCAUGCCGCGUGUGUGAAGAAGGUCUUCGGAUUGUAAAGCACUUUAAGUUGGGAGGAAGGGCAGUAAGCUAAUACCUUGCUGUUUUGACGUUACCGACAGAAUAAGCACCGGCUAACUCUGUG